CGAAAGUACACGGGGUGCUUGACUACGGAAACGUUGUCAGGCUGAGAUGAUACCCGCAACCUGAUCUGGAUAAUGCCAGCGUAGGAAAUGUAACCUCAUAGGAUA
This 105-nucleotide non-coding RNA is filed under the name Pontibacter flavimaris. RNAcentral's name for it is "Pontibacter sp. S10-8 TPP riboswitch aptamer (THI element)". It matches the Rfam family "TPP riboswitch aptamer (THI element)". From Rfam's summary of the family: Vitamin B(1) in its active form thiamin pyrophosphate (TPP) is an essential coenzyme that is synthesised by coupling of pyrimidine and thiazole moieties in bacteria. The previously detected thiamin-regulatory element, thi box was extended, resulting in a new, highly conserved RNA secondary structure, the THI element, which is widely distributed in eubacteria and also occurs in some archaea. Analysis of operon structures identified a large number of new candidate thiamin-regulated genes, mostly transporters, in various prokaryotic organisms. The record is from Rfam by way of RNAcentral. Lineage: Bacteria; Pseudomonadati; Bacteroidota; Cytophagia; Cytophagales; Hymenobacteraceae. RNAcentral also lists the same sequence under 1 other name.